AGCCGUGUGCACCGGUUGCUAGGCAAGCAAUCCUACCAUCUAAGUAAGGUACAUCCUCAGCACUCUCUCAGGGAUUUAAAACACCUUUCCACAACAAGUUCGAGACAGCUUGGAUGCCGUUUUAACGUACCUAAGUGAACCAACCCUCAAAACCUGCCCUGUGGACACAUACGCGGCUCUGGGAGAGAACCCACAGGACUGUUAGAGGCCCUACUUGAGGGCGGGGCAGGUUGCCGAGGGUAGGUGGCUACAGAGCAGGAGCCACCCCACGAUCGCUGCUGCCAGCGGCCCUAGUCAAAGGAACUUGGCUGCACUUGAGGACACCGGCUCAGUCCACGCCGCUUUGCGGUCAUCCUCAGAGCACCUCGGCGGUCCCACUUGGCGCCCCAGGUCUUUUACUGUCCCCAACGGACCUGUGUGGAGCCGAGCAGCUGAGCCUCAGAACCUACAUCAGAGUCCAACAGCCCCUUUGCUACGCAAGCGCCCUAGCUAGCAAAGAACAGCCCGGUCUUGGAGUCUACUGAGCACGCGUGCUGGUCCGACGCUCCCGUUAUACCUCCCUCGCGGCAGCUCCGCCAGUGCGCAGGCGUGCUAAGCCUCCGCGGCGCCAGGAGGCGGGCUUAGGGCGAGGGGGCGGAGCGAGCCGGAGCCUGCGGCUGCGCACUCGUAGGCCCCGCCCCUUGGGCUCGUCUACGGUUCCUCCGCCGUAGCUGUGCAAACAAGCUCGGUCAGCGUCCAAGUUGAGUCUUCGGAGGUGCUGGCCGCGGACGCCACCGACGCACCAUGGCGUCUGCUGCUCUCGGGCUGACGCCGCGCUGGGUGAUGCUCCUCGGCGCCGCGCUGCUGCUGCUUCUGCCCGUAGCCUCUGGGCAGGAGCCUCCGGGAGUGGGUUGUUCUCUGUACACAAACAGAUCCUGUGAAGAGUGCCUCAGGAAUGUCUCGUGUCUGUGGUGUAACGAGAACAAGGCAUGCUUGGACUACCCAGUGAGAAAAAUCUUGCCCCCUGCUUCUCUUUGUAAAUUGAGUUCUGCUCGCUGGGGCGUGUGCUGGGUGAACUUCGAGGCCUUGAUCAUCACCAUGUCAGUGCUUGGGGGCUCCGUGCUCCUGGGUAUCACUGUAUGCUGCUGCUGCUGCUGCCGCCGGAAGAAGAGCCGGAAGCCGGACAAGAGCGACGAGCGGGCCAUCAGAGAACAGGAAGAGAGGAGAGUGCGGCAGGAGGAGAGGCGAGCGGAGAUGAAGUCAAGACACGAUGAAAUCAGGAAAAAAUACGGUCUGUUUAAAGAACAAAACCCAUAUGAGAAGUUCUAAAGCAGCUGGCGUACACUUACGGCAGAUCUUGCAGUCCCAGAGUUUCCUGGGAGUGCCCUCCUGAGCAUAGCUUGCGGAGACCUUACCACUACAACCACCCAUGACCUGGGUCAUCCCUCCAGCUUCAGCACAGGCACCAGAGUGGCCUUGAGAGGACAAUCCUGCUCUUGUUCCCUCUAUCUCUGUUGCUGAGCUGAUGUUAGAGUGACCAGCUGCUAAACGCAGAGUAUUUAAUUCUCCGGUGUAGAAAUGCAGCAGGUGCUCUCGGGACUGCCUGGUCUGUGCCCAACUCUGAGCAGCACCAGGAGCAGCCACAGACCUACGCCGAGACCGUGACACCCAGUGCCUUACUUUUUAACCACUUUCCAAUAAAAUGGUUGGAUAUGGCUUUGAA
Peromyscus eremicus (cactus mouse) is the source of this 1702-nucleotide RNA transcript. It is a transcript of the gene named PTTG1 interacting protein, with no coding region annotated. Lineage: Eukaryota; Metazoa; Chordata; Mammalia; Rodentia; Cricetidae. The transcript is spliced from 7 exons. The record is from RefSeq and is a predicted model, not a curated record.